AUAGUCACAAGAACUACUACAGCCUAUUGUAUUUGUUCUGGUGAGUAUAAUCAGGCUUUUUGCACUAAACAUUGUCUUUUCAAAGCAAAUGCAGUGUUUACAUUACAGUUUAGUGAUAACUCCACUGGCCACUCCUCAGAUGGCUACUAGAGGUGCUUCCUGGGGUAGUGCUGCAGAGUAUGCUGCAUGACCAUUCAGUGUCUCCACCCUCUGCAUGCCGACACUGAACGUUCCUCAUAGAGAUGCAAUGAUUCAGGAGAUGCUGAUUGGCCAUGGCUAGUGCUUGCUCUGCCUCCUUGACAGUGUCAGUCAAUCCUUUGGGAAAGUAUUGUUAUUGGCUUUGAGCAACACUUCUGAUGUCAGUAAAGCAGGCAGAUCAGGGGCAGAGGCAGCAGCUGCGGAUUUGAAUACAAGGGGGGGAUGAGGGAAAUGGUG
Molecule: non-coding RNA, 435 nt
Organism: Pelobates cultripes (western spadefoot toad)
Lineage: Eukaryota; Metazoa; Chordata; Amphibia; Anura; Pelobatidae
Source: the annotation of a GenBank genome assembly